UACGGGAGGUGCAAGCGUUGUUCGGAGUGACUGGGCGUAAAGCGCACGUAGGUGGGCUUGUAAGUCGGAUGUGAAAUCCCCGGGCUUAACCUGGGAACUGCAUCCGAAACUAUAAGUCUUGAAUGCUUCAGAGGUUGGUAGAAUUCCUGGUGUAGGAGUGAAAUCCGUAGAUAUCAGGAGGAAUACCGGAGGCGAAGGCGGCCAACUGGGAGUGCAUUGACACUGAGGUGCGAAAGCGUGGGGAGCAAACAGG
RNAcentral lists this ribosomal RNA (253 nucleotides) under uncultured bacterium. Its description in RNAcentral is "partial 16S ribosomal RNA". It matches the Rfam family "Bacterial small subunit ribosomal RNA", at positions 524 to 776 of the family's 1533-position model. The record is from RNAcentral.